Molecule: long non-coding RNA, 144 nt
Organism: Varanus komodoensis (Komodo dragon)
Lineage: Eukaryota; Metazoa; Chordata; Lepidosauria; Squamata; Varanidae
Exons: 3
Source: RefSeq, a predicted model, not a curated record
GCAAGCCAGUGAAAGUGUACAGAGGCAAUAAAGACCCGGUGAGUGCACUGUCCUUCUGGUGUUGCUCUUCAUGGAAAAUCAAGGAAGAGGCAGCUUUAGCCUGCACCCCUCUCCUGACACGGUCACAAUGGUGGAGAAUGAUGU